UGAGCUGUGGAUAGGGGUGAAAGGCUAAACAAACUUGGAAAUAGCUGGUUCUCUCCGAAAACUAUUUAGGUAGUGCCUCAAGUAUUACCUGCGGGGUAGAGCACUGUUUAGGCUAGGGGGUCAUGGCGACUUACCAAACCUAUGCAAACUCCGAAUACCGCAGAGUACAGCUUGGGAGACAGAGCACCGGGUGCUAACGUCCGGACUCAAGAGGGAAACAACCCAGACCGCCAGCUAAGGUCCCUAAAAUUGGCUAAGUGGGAAACGAAGUGGGAAGGCUAAAACAGUCAGGAUGUUGGCUUAGAAGCAGCCAUCAUUUAAAGAAAGCGUAAUAGCUCACUGAUCGAGUCGUCCUGCGCGGAAGAUGUAACGGGGCUAAGCCAGUUACCGAAGCUGCGGAUGUGCAAUUUAUUGCACGUGGUAGGAGAGCGUUCUGUAAGCCUGUGAAGGUGCCUGGUAACGGGUGCUGGAGGUAUCAGAAGUGCGAAUGCUGACAUGAGUAGCGUUAAAGCGGGUGAAAAGCCCGCUCGCCGUAAGCGCAAGGUUUCCUACGCAACGUUCAUCGGCGUAGGGUGAGUCGGCCCCUAAGGCGAGGCAGAGAUGCGUAGCUGAUGGGAAACAGGUCAAUAUUCCUGUACCGAUCAAUAGUGCGAUGUGGGGACGGAGAAGGUUAGCUCAGCCAACUGUUGGAUAUGUUGGUUCAAGCCUGUAGUCGUGGUCCUUAGGCAAAUCCGGGGAUCUUAGAUGAGGGGUGAUAACGAGUGUGCUUGCACACGAAGUGAGUGAUACCCUGCUUCCAGGAAAAGCCACUAAGCUUCAGCUAUUGACGACCGUACCGCAAACCGACACUGGUGCGCGAGAUGAGUAUUCUAAGGCGCUUGAGAGAACUCAGGAGAAGGAACUCGGCAAAUUGAUACCGUAACUUCGGGAGAAGGUAUGCCCUAGUAAGUGAAGUUGUACAAAUGGAGCUAAACGGGGUUGCAAAAAAUCGGUGGCUGCGACUGUUUAAUAAAAACACAGCACUCUGCAAACACGAAAGUGGACGUAUAGGGUGUGACGCCUGCCCGGUGCUGGAAGAUUAAAUGAUGGGGUGCAAGCUCUUGAUUGAAGUCCCAGUAAACGGCGGCCGUAACUAUAACGGUCCUAAGGUAGCGAAAUUCCUUGUCGGGUAAGUUCCGACCUGCACGAAUGGCGUAACGAUGGCCACACUGUCUCCUCCUGAGACUCAGCGAAGUUGAAAUGUUUGUGAUGAUGCAAUCUCCCCGCGGAAAGACGGAAAGACCCCAUGAACCUUUACUGUAGCUUUGUAUUGGACUUUGAACGGAUCUGUGUAGGAUAGGUGGGAGGCUUUGAAGUGUGGUCGCUAGAUCACAUGGAGCCAACGUUGAAAUACCACCCUGGUGCGUUUGAGGUUCUAACCUAGGUCCAUUAUCUGGAUCGGGGACAGUGCAUGGUAGGCAGUUUGACUGGGGCGGUCUCCUCCCAAAGCGUAACGGAGGAGUUCGAAGGUACGCUAGUUACGGUCGGACAUCGUGACGAUAGUGCAAUGGCAUAAGCGUGCUUAACUGCGAGACUGACAAGUCGAGCAGAUGCGAAAGCAGGACAUAGUGAUCCGGUGGUUCUGUAUGGAAGGGCCAUCGCUCAACGGAUAAAAGGUACUCUGGGGAUAACAGGCUGAUACCGCCCAAGAGUUCAUAUCGACGGCGGUGUUUGGCACCUCGAUGUCGGCUCAUCUCAUCCUGGGGCUGUAGUCGGUCCCAAGGGUAUGGCUGUUCGCCAUUUAAAGAGGUACGUGAGCUGGGUUUAAAACGUCGUGAGACAGUUUGGUCCCUAUCUUCCGUGGGCGUUGCAGAUUUGAGGAAGCCUGCUCCUAGUACGAGAGGACCGGAGUGGACACACCUCUGGUGUAUCGGUUGUCACGCCAGUGGCAUUGCCGAGUAGCUACGUGUGGAAGAGAUAACCGCUGAAAAGCAUCUAAGCGGGAAACUCGUUUCAAGAUGAGAUCUGCCGGGGCCUUGAGCCCCCUGAAGGGUCGUUGUAGACCACGACGUUGAUAGGCUGGGUGUGGAAGCGCAGUAAUGCGUUAAGCUAACCAGUACUAAUUGCCCGAGCGGCUUGACCCU
Molecule: ribosomal RNA, 2123 nt
Filed under: Comamonas terrigena
Lineage: Bacteria; Pseudomonadati; Pseudomonadota; Betaproteobacteria; Burkholderiales; Comamonadaceae
Description: bacterial LSU rRNA
Rfam family: Bacterial large subunit ribosomal RNA
Source: RNAcentral